GACGAACGCUGGCGGCGGGCUUAACACAUGCAAGUCGAACGGAAAGGCCCUGCUUUUGUGGGGUGCUCGAGUGGCGAACGGGGGAGUAACACGUGAGUAACCUGCCCUUGACUUUGGGAUAACUUCAGGAAACUGGGGCUAAUACCGGAUAGGAGCUCCUGCAGCAGGGUGGGGGUUGGAAAGUUUCGGCGGUCGGGGAUGGACUCGCGGCUUAUGAGCUUGUUGGUGGGGUAGUGGCUGACCAAGGCUUUGACGGGUAGCCGGCCUGGGAGGGUGACCGGCCACCUUGGGACUGCGGUACGGCCCAGACUCCUACGGUGGGCAGCGGUGGGGAAUCUUACACAAUGGGCGGGAGCCUGAUGAGGCGACGCCGCGUGCGGGAUGACGGCCUGCGGGUUGUGAACCGCUUUCGCCUGUGACGAAGCGUUAGUGACGGUACUGGGUAAAGAAGCACCGGCUAACUUCGUG
Molecule: ribosomal RNA, 468 nt
Filed under: uncultured bacterium
Lineage: Bacteria
Description: partial 16S ribosomal RNA
Rfam family: Bacterial small subunit ribosomal RNA
Source: RNAcentral